RNAcentral lists this unclassified non-coding RNA (275 nucleotides) under plant metagenome. RNAcentral's name for it is "partial contains small subunit ribosomal RNA, internal transcribed spacer 1, and 5.8S ribosomal RNA". The stretch from base 1 to 54 matches the Rfam family "Eukaryotic small subunit ribosomal RNA", at positions 1778 to 1831 of the family's 1831-position model. The record is from RNAcentral.
GGUAGUAAAAGUCGUAACAAGGUUUCCGUAGGUGAACCUGCGGAAGGAUCAUUAACGAGUUAGGGUCUUCCAGGCCCGACCUCCCAACCCUAUGUUUAUUGAACCUCUGUUGCUUCGGCGGGCCCGCCUCACGGCCGCCGGAGGACCGCUGCAAGGCGUCCUCUGGCCAGCGUCCGCCGAUGGCCAACCACUUAAACUCUGAAUGAAUCGUGUCAUAUGUCUAAGUCUAUGAUUAAAUUAAAGCAAAACUUUCAACAACGGAUCUCUUGGUUCUG